This 506-nucleotide ribosomal RNA is filed under the name uncultured bacterium. Its description in RNAcentral is "partial 16S ribosomal RNA". It matches the Rfam family "Bacterial small subunit ribosomal RNA", at positions 30 to 523 of the family's 1533-position model. The record is from RNAcentral.
AUUGAACGCUGGCGGCAGGCCUAACACAUGCAAGUCGAACGGUAACAGAAAGCAGCUUGCUGCUUUGCUGACGAGUGGCGGACGGGUGAGUAAUGUCUGGGAAACUGCCCGAUGGAGGGGGAUAACUACUGGAAACGGUAGCUAAUACCGCAUAACGUCGCAAGACCAAAGAGGGGGACCUUCGGGCCUCUUGCCAUCGGAUGUGCCCAGAUGGGAUUAGCUUGUUGGUGAGGUAACGGCUCACCAAGGCGACGAUCCCUAGCUGGUCUGAGAGGAUGACCAGCCACACUGGAACUGAGACACGGUCCAGACUCCUACGGGAGGCAGCAGUGGGGAAUAUUGCACAAUGGGCGCAAGCCUGAUGCAGCCAUGCCGCGUGUAUGAAGAAGGCCUUCGGGUUGUAAAGUACUUUCAGCGGGGAGGAAGGUGUUGUGGUUAAUAACCACAGCAAUUGACGUUACCCGCAGAAGAAGCACCGGCUAACUCCGUGCCAGCCGCCGCCGUAA